UUUACAGUCUUAAACCAGACACCACUCAGACAAAGGAAAGAAAAAAACAAUGAAGAGAAAAUACAGAUAUUAUGGUUAAAGGUUGAGGUGCGACUUCAGUUAACAGGAGCAGUACACUACUUGUUUUCAUCAAAUUUGAUAAUAUACCAAGAAGACAUGGUGCUUAUAUUUAUGGCAUCAUUGGAAUUCAAAUGGUAAAAGAUAAAGGCUUGGAAGAGGUUUGGAAACAAAAUCAAGAAGUGGAAUUUCAGCAAGCUCGCUAAGCCAGCUUCUAGCGGGCUUAUCCAGACUAAAUCCAGUAACUUCCCAAUUUUAAUAGCGCGCUUAGCGGACCAACCGCGCUAAGCAGAGUCAACUUGAAGGAAGAUAUUUUCGCUAGCUUGCUUAGCGCGCCAUGCUGGCUAAGCGAGAUCACUUUUUGAGGCACUUGUGGAAGGAGACACUUGAAAUAUUUUUGGUGUUUUUAUCCUUAUCUUUCUUACCAACUUUUACAACACAAGUUCUAGGGCAAGAAAGAGGAUGUGAGAAAAAGAAGUUCAAGAAAAAAUAUUCAAGAUUUACCAUCAUCUUUUCUUCAUCUUUUGGGUUUUGAUGUUUAUAAAUCUUUUAUGGUUACUUGUUGUUGAAGCUUCCAUGGCUAUGGAGAGAUAAACCUCUUUUGUGUCAAGAUUAGAGGUAGUUAACUUGUAUAGUGUGUAUUUCUUUUGAUCUUUUGAUGUAUGA
Vicia villosa (hairy vetch) is the source of this 723-nucleotide long non-coding RNA. RefSeq lists it as uncharacterized. NCBI's taxonomy places the organism in Eukaryota, Viridiplantae, Streptophyta, Magnoliopsida, Fabales, Fabaceae. The transcript has 3 exons. The record is from RefSeq and is a predicted model, not a curated record.